RNAcentral lists this ribosomal RNA (493 nucleotides) under uncultured bacterium. RNAcentral describes it as "partial 16S ribosomal RNA". It matches the Rfam family "Bacterial small subunit ribosomal RNA", at positions 29 to 507 of the family's 1533-position model. The record is from RNAcentral.
ACGAACGCUGGCGGCGUGCUUAACACAUGCAAGUCGAACGGUGAAGCGCCUUCCUUUUUGGUGGGUGUGGAUGAGUGGCGAACGGGUGAGUAACACGUGAGUAACCUGCCCCCUUCUUCUGGAUAACCGCAUGAAAGUGUGGCUAAUACGGGAUAUUCUGGGUCUGUCGCAUGAUGGGUCUGGGAAAGAUAUUGUUUCGGUGGGGGAUGGGCUCGCGGCCUAUCAGCUUGUUGGUGGGGUGAUGGCCUACCAAGGCGGUGACGGGUAGCCGGCCUGAGGGGGUGGACGGUCACACUGGGACUGAGACACGGCCCAGACUCCUACGGGAGGCAGCAGUGGGGAAUAUUGCACAAUGGGCGCAAGCCUGAUGCAGCGACGCCGCGUGAGGGAUGGAGGCCUUCGGGUCGUGAACCUCUUUCGCCAGUGAAGCAGGCCUGCCUCGUUUGUGGGUGGGUUGACGGUAGCUGGAGAAGAAGCGCCGGCUAACUACGUG